CAGUCGCCGCGGUAAAACGUAGGUGGCAAGCGUUAUCCGGAAUUAUUGGGCGUAAAGCGCGCGUAGGCGGUUUUUAAGUCUGAUGUGAAAGCCCACGGCUCAACCGUGGAGGGUCAUUGGAAACUGGAAAACUUGAGUGCAGAAGAGGAAAGUGGAAUUCCAUGUGUAGCGGUGAAAUGCGCAGAGAUAUGGAGGAACACCAGUGGCGAAGGCGACUUUCUGGUCUGUAACUGACGCUGAUGUGCGAAAGCGUGGGGAUCAAACAGGAUUAGAUACCCGAGUAGUCCCUGUCUCUUAUACA
This 301-nucleotide ribosomal RNA is filed under the name uncultured bacterium. Its description in RNAcentral is "partial 16S ribosomal RNA". It matches the Rfam family "Bacterial small subunit ribosomal RNA", at positions 509 to 808 of the family's 1533-position model. The record is from RNAcentral.